This 250-nucleotide ribosomal RNA is filed under the name uncultured Acholeplasma sp. RNAcentral's name for it is "partial 16S ribosomal RNA". It matches the Rfam family "Bacterial small subunit ribosomal RNA", at positions 524 to 774 of the family's 1533-position model. The record is from RNAcentral. Lineage: Bacteria; Bacillati; Mycoplasmatota; Mollicutes; Acholeplasmatales; Acholeplasmataceae.
UACAUAGGGGGCAAGCGUUAUCCGGAAUUAUUGGGCGUAAAGGGUGCGUAGGUGGUUAAUUAAGUCUUUGGUAUAAGUGCAGUGCUUAACGCUGUGAUGCUAAAGAAACUGGUUGACUUGAGUGUGGUAGAGGCAAGUGGAACUCCAUGUGUAGCGGUAAAAUGCGUAAAUAUAUGGAGGAACACCAGUGGCGAAGGCGGCUUGCUGGGCCAUAACUGACACUGAGGCACGAAAGCGUGGGGAGCAAACA